GUUAAUGAUGGGCUAACUAAGGUUACAUAUAUGUAACCAUGGUUACAUGCUUGUGACUCUUGAGUUAUGUAACUCUUGUGACUCUUGGGUUAUGUAACACUUUUGUUAUAAAGUGGGGGUUAUGGUUCCCACAUUAUUGCAAGACAUAAUAUCUUCUUCCUCCCAUUGAAUCAAGAGAAACUCCAUUGUUGUCUUGCAAAUUCUUGUGGAAAACCAUACACCAACUUUGGUUAUUGUCAUAUUAUUAUU
RNAcentral lists this long non-coding RNA (249 nucleotides) under Nicotiana benthamiana. RNAcentral's name for it is "long non-coding RNA (NBEN_LNC031757)". The record is from RNAcentral. Lineage: Eukaryota; Viridiplantae; Streptophyta; Magnoliopsida; Solanales; Solanaceae.